UCCAUGAAGUUGGAUUCGCUAGUAAUCGCGCAUCAGCCAUGGCGCGGUGAAUACGUUCCCGGGCCUUGUACACACCGCCCGUCAAGCCAUGGGAGCCGGGGGUGCCUGAAGUUCGUGACCGCAAGGAGCGACCUAGGGCAAAACUGGUGACUGGGGCUAAGUCGUAACAAGGUAAC
This 176-nucleotide ribosomal RNA is filed under the name uncultured bacterium. RNAcentral describes it as "partial 16S ribosomal RNA". It matches the Rfam family "Bacterial small subunit ribosomal RNA", at positions 1317 to 1500 of the family's 1533-position model. The record is from RNAcentral.